This 344-nucleotide ribosomal RNA is filed under the name uncultured bacterium. RNAcentral's name for it is "partial 16S ribosomal RNA". It matches the Rfam family "Bacterial small subunit ribosomal RNA", at positions 338 to 698 of the family's 1533-position model. The record is from RNAcentral.
CCUACGGGUGGCAGCAGUGGGGAAUAGUGCACAAUGGGGGAAACCCUGAUGCAGCAACGCCGCGUGAAGGAAGACGGUUUUCGGAGUGUAAACUUCUGUUCGUAGGGAAGAAGAAUGACGGUAGCGAAGGAGCAAGCCACGGCUAACUACGUGCCAGCAGCCGCGGUAAGACGUAGGUGGCAAGCGUUGUCCGGAAUUACGGGGGGUAAAGGGAGCGCCGGCGGGAAGCAAAGUCAGCUGUGAAAACUACGGGCUUAACUUGUAGACUGCAGUUGAAACUGGCAGUCUUGAGUACAGUAGAGGUGGGCUGCAUUCGUGGUGUAGCGGUGUCAUGCUUAGCUAUC